Molecule: microRNA, 20 nt
Filed under: Macacine gammaherpesvirus 4 (Rhesus lymphocryptovirus)
Lineage: Duplodnaviria; Heunggongvirae; Peploviricota; Herviviricetes; Herpesvirales; Orthoherpesviridae
Description: rlcv-miR-rL1-26-3p
Gene: rlcv-miR-rL1-26-3p
Source: miRBase by way of RNAcentral
UACGAUUCUCCGGGUUUAGC